This 1024-nucleotide ribosomal RNA is filed under the name Vibrio harveyi. RNAcentral's name for it is "bacterial SSU rRNA". It matches the Rfam family "Bacterial small subunit ribosomal RNA", at positions 354 to 1369 of the family's 1533-position model. The record is from RNAcentral. Lineage: Bacteria; Pseudomonadati; Pseudomonadota; Gammaproteobacteria; Vibrionales; Vibrionaceae.
GUGGGGAAUAUUGCACAAUGGGCGCAAGCCUGAUGCAGCCAUGCCGCGUGUGUGAAGAAGGCCUUCGGGUUGUAAAGCACUUUCAGUCGUGAGGAAGGUGGUGUAGUUAAUAGCUGUAUUAUUUGACGUUAGCGACAGAAGAAGCACCGGCUAACUCCGUGCCAGCAGCCGCGGUAAUACGGAGGGUGCGAGCGUUAAUCGGAAUUACUGGGCGUAAAGCGCAUGCAGGUGGUUUGUUAAGUCAGAUGUGAAAGCCCGGGGCUCAACCUCGGAAUAGCAUUUGAAACUGGCAGACUAGAGUACUGUAGAGGGGGGUAGAAUUUCAGGUGUAGCGGUGAAAUGCGUAGAGAUCUGAAGGAAUACCGGUGGCGAAGGCGGGCCCCCUGGACAGAUACUGACACUCAGAUGCGAAAGCGUGGGGAGCAAACAGGAUUAGAUACCCUGGUAGUCCACGCCGUAAACGAUGUCUACUUGGAGGUUGUGGCCUUGAGCCGUGGCUUUCGGAGCUAACGCGUUAAGUAGACCGCCUGGGGAGUACGGUCGCAAGAUUAAAACUCAAAUGAAUUGACGGGGGCCCGCACAAGCGGUGGAGCAUGUGGUUUAAUUCGAUGCAACGCGAAGAACCUUACCUACUCUUGACAUCCAGAGAACUUUCCAGAGAUGGAUUGGUGCCUUCGGGAACUCUGAGACAGGUGCUGCAUGGCUGUCGUCAGCUCGUGUUGUGAAAUGUUGGGUUAAGUCCCGCAACGAGCGCAACCCUUAUCCUUGUUUGCCAGCAAGUUCGGGCGGGAACUCCAGGGAGACUGCCGGUGAUAAACCGGAGGAAGGUGGGGACGACGUCAAGUCAUCAUGGCCCUUACGAGUAGGGCUACACACGUGCUACAAUGGCGCAUACAGAGGGCGGCCAACUUGCGAGAGUGAGCGAAUCCCAAAAAGUGCGUCGUAGUCCGGAUCGGAGUCUGCAACUCGACUCCAUGAAGUCGGAAUCGCUAGUAAUCGUGGAUCAGAAUGCCACGGUGAAUAC